Molecule: transfer RNA, 68 nt
Filed under: Yersinia pestis
Lineage: Bacteria; Pseudomonadati; Pseudomonadota; Gammaproteobacteria; Enterobacterales; Yersiniaceae
Also listed under: 1 other name
Description: tRNA-Thr
Source: RNAcentral
GGUCCCCAAGGGAAACAGCAUACAACGCACUCGUAAUGCGUAGGUCGGGGGUUCAAUUCCCUUCACCA